UACGGAGGGCGCGAGCGUUAAUCGGAAUUACUGGGCGUAAAGCGCGCGUAGGCUGUUGUGUAAGUUGGGGGUGAAAUCCCACGGCUCAACCGUGGAACAGCCCUUGAUACUGCGCGACUUGAAUCCGGGAGAGGGUGGCGGAAUUCCAGGUGUAGGAGUGAAAUCCGUAGAUAUCUGGAGGAACAUCAGUGGCGAAGGCGGCCACCUGGACCGGUACUGACGCUGAGGCGCGAAAGCGUGGGGAGCAAACAGG
RNAcentral lists this ribosomal RNA (253 nucleotides) under uncultured bacterium. RNAcentral describes it as "partial 16S ribosomal RNA". It matches the Rfam family "Bacterial small subunit ribosomal RNA", at positions 524 to 776 of the family's 1533-position model. The record is from RNAcentral.